GACGAACGCUGGCGGCGUGCUUAACACAUGCAAGUCGAACGGAAAGGCCCCUUUGGGGGUACUCGAGUGGCGAACGGGUGAGUAACACGUGAGUAACCUGCCCUUGACUUCGGGAUAACUUCAGGAAACUGGGGCUAAUACCGGAUAGGAAUCCUUGCUACAUGGUGGGGGUUGGAAAGCUUCGGCGGUUUUGGAUGGACUCGCGGCUUAUCAGCUUGUUGGUGGGGUAGUGGCUUACCAAGGCUUUGACGGGUAGCCGGCCUGAGAGGGCGACCGGCCACAUUGGGACUGAGAUACGGCCCAGACUCCUACGGGAGGCAGCAGUGGGGAAUAUUGCACAAUGGGCGGAAGCCUGAUGCAGCAACGCCGCGUGCGGGAUGACGGCCUUCGGGUUGUAAACCGCUUUCAGCAGGGGCGAAGCUUGUGGUGACGGUACCUGCAGAAGAAGCACCGGCUAACUACGUG
RNAcentral lists this ribosomal RNA (465 nucleotides) under uncultured bacterium. Its description in RNAcentral is "partial 16S ribosomal RNA". It matches the Rfam family "Bacterial small subunit ribosomal RNA", at positions 28 to 507 of the family's 1533-position model. The record is from RNAcentral.